CCCUACGGGAGGCAGCAGUGGGGAAUAUUGGACAAUGGGCGAAAGCCUGAUCCAGCAAUGCCGCGUGAGUGAUGAAGGCCUUAGGGUUGUAAAGCUCUUUUACCCGGGAUGAUAAUGACAGUACCGGGAGAAUAAGCUCCGGCUAACUCCGUG
RNAcentral lists this ribosomal RNA (153 nucleotides) under uncultured bacterium. RNAcentral's name for it is "partial 16S ribosomal RNA". It matches the Rfam family "Bacterial small subunit ribosomal RNA", at positions 337 to 507 of the family's 1533-position model. The record is from RNAcentral.